GGGGUGGAUGGAGGGAUAGAGGGUAUAGAGGAGUGGAUGGAGGGAUGGAUGGUAUAGAGGAGUGGAUGGAGGGAAGGAGGGUAUAGAGGAGUGGAUGGAGGGAUUGAGGGUAUAGAGGAGUGGAUGGAGGGAUAGAGGGUAUAGAGGAGUGGAUGGAGGGAUAGAGGGUAUAGAGGAGUGGAUGGAGGGAUAGAGGGUAUAGAGGAGUGGAUGGAGGGAUAGAGGGUAUAGAGGAGUGGAUGGAGGGAUAGAGGGUAUAGAGGAGUGGAUGGAGGGAUAGAGGGUAUAGAGGAGUGGAUGGAGGGAUAGAGGGUAUAGAGGAGUGGAUGGAGGGAUAGAAGGUAUAGAGGAGUGGAUGGAGGGAUAGAGAGAUGGAGGGAUAUAGGGUAUAGAGGAGUGGAUGGAGGCAUAGAGGGUAUAGAGGAGUGGAUGGAGGCAUAGAGAUUGAGGGAUAGAGGGUAUAGAGGAGUGGAUGGAGGGAUAGAGAGAUGGAGGGAUAGUGGGUAUAGAGGAGUGGAUGGAGGGAUAGAGAGAUGGCGGGAUAGAGGGUAUAGAGGAGUGGAUGGAGGGAUAGAGGGUAUAGAGGAGUGGAUGGAGGGAUAGAGAGAUGGAGGGAUAGAGGGUAUAGAGGAGUGGAUGGAGGCACAGAGAGAUGGAGGGAUAGAGGGUAUAGAGGAGUGGAUGGAGGCAUAGAGAGAUGGAGGGAUAGAGGGUAUAGAGGAGUGGAUGGAGGGAUAGAGAGAUGGAGGGAUAGAGGGUAUAGAGGAGUGGAUGGAGGCAUAGAGGGUAUAGAGGAGUGGAUGGAGGCAUAGAGAGAUGGAGGGAUAGAUGGUAUAGAGGAGUGGAUAGAGGGAUAGAGG
Molecule: long non-coding RNA, 860 nt
Organism: Oncorhynchus tshawytscha (Chinook salmon)
Lineage: Eukaryota; Metazoa; Chordata; Actinopteri; Salmoniformes; Salmonidae
Source: Ensembl